Myotis myotis is the source of this 372-nucleotide long non-coding RNA. RefSeq lists it as uncharacterized. Lineage: Eukaryota; Metazoa; Chordata; Mammalia; Chiroptera; Vespertilionidae. The record is from RefSeq and is a predicted model, not a curated record. The transcript has 3 exons.
UGACUGAAUAAUGAUCAAAGCUAAGGCAACUUAGGUCAUGAAUAUGCAUGGACGGCUGCCUUUCAUCCAGCAUAAUGCUUUUACUGAGCAGAGAAGAACUCACAUUUGGAGUAUCCCCAACAGAAUAUCAUAGAGAAAAAGAGGCUGCUGUUUCUGGUGAAGGUCAGAAGGUGAACAACGGAAUCCCGGUUCCUUGGUUUAGGACUCAAAUGUUUAGCUGAUGCAUACAUAGUUGGUGGGACAAAGAAUGCCUUUUCUAAUCUGAUCCUCAGACACUGUCAGAAACGAACGAAUAAAUAAGAAUUUCAAGCCCCUGGGAAAUUAUGAGGUUGCAGAUUUUAGCUUCUGAAUUAACAAUUAACUUUGGUAUGC